This 349-nucleotide ribosomal RNA is filed under the name uncultured bacterium. RNAcentral's name for it is "bacterial SSU rRNA". It matches the Rfam family "Bacterial small subunit ribosomal RNA", at positions 8 to 350 of the family's 1533-position model. The record is from RNAcentral.
AGAGUUUGAUCCUGGCUCAGGAUGAACGCUAGCUACAGGCUUAACACAUGCAAGUCGAGGGGCAGCAUGAACUUAGCUUGCUAAGUUUGAUGGCGACCGGCGCACGGGUGAGUAACACGUAUCCAACCUGCCGAUGACUCGGGGAUAGCCUUUCGAAAGAAAGAUUAAUACCCGAUGGCAUAAUUCUUCCGCAUGGUAGAAUUAUUAAAGAAUUUCGGUCAUCGAUGGGGAUGCGUUCCAUUAGGUUGUUGGCGGGGUAACGGCCACCAAGCCUUCGAUGGAUAGGGGUUCUGAGAGGAAGGCCCCCCACAUUGGAACUGAGACACGGUCCAAACUCCUACGGGAGGCA